AGCCACGUUGUCGAUUGGGAAACUCAUCGUACUAAGUUGAAAACCGAGGCAACCCUCUCCUCCAAUGGCGGGCUACCGAGGCCUUCGGGUCUCCUCGCCUAUGGCGAGCAGAGUAGAUUACAAAGGGGGCGGGGAUCUCAAAUCCUGUUUUUCGGAGUUUUCACUUAAUCUGCUCGUGGCUCCCCCA
This is a small RNA of Porphyromonas sp. oral taxon 279, 187 nucleotides long. It matches the Rfam family "Bacteroidales-1 6S-Bacteroidales RNA suggested". The record is from Rfam. NCBI's taxonomy places the organism in Bacteria, Pseudomonadati, Bacteroidota, Bacteroidia, Bacteroidales, Porphyromonadaceae.